RNAcentral lists this long non-coding RNA (1859 nucleotides) under Falco tinnunculus (common kestrel). RNAcentral describes it as "lncRNA (ENSFTIG00000006865.1)". Lineage: Eukaryota; Metazoa; Chordata; Aves; Falconiformes; Falconidae. The record is from RNAcentral.
AAAUUACAAUUUUUUAAGGUGAGACAUUUUGACUUUCUAGCUCUUCAUCUCUUUCAGAAUCCUAUAAUGUAUGCAGGGAAAAAAGGAUCUACAAAAAUCACUAAUGUCCCUAAUGGUCUCUACAUAGAGGCAGAUGAUGUCUUCAAGGGGCUCAAGACUGUUAUGUGUCUGUGGCAGAGUCUCCACUGGUAGUCUCUACCACUAUGCUGAUUUACAUCAUUUGAGUGUCCAGCCUACUAACUGAACAGCUAAUGUGUUUUCACAGAUACUAAAAACUAGUGCUUCCAGUCUGUUUUUGUAAGGACAUAAUUUCAUAGCAAAGGGAAAGACCUCCAUCUUUAAACUAUAAAGAACUUUUGCCCCGAGUAAACCAAGUGUCAGCAACCAACGUUUUUCAGAUGGCUUCACUUGCAAAUGGGAAUUUAUUUCCUACAGAGUUGAGGUCAGCAAGAAAAAAAGAUGAAGACAGAGACUUCCGCAAUGCCACAAAACAUGGCUUUAACAGAAAAAGAGAAGUUCAUUAAAAUAAAAAUCUUGGAGUUAAGCAAGAACAUCACCCAUUUAGGAAGGUGGAAGAUCUCGGUAGCAGGACCUUCCAAAACACUUGUGCCUUUGGCAAAAUGACCGCAGUGCUUCACCAUAGCCUUCACUACUCCCACGUAGUAUCAUUUUAUGUCACUGGUAUCUGCAGUGCUAGAACAGCCUAGGGAUGGGAGAGCACCAGCAUUUCUGCACGCUUCCUGCAUCCUGGGGAUUGCAGCUGUGAAGCAGAGCAGGGUGCACUUUCUAUCGCAUCUCUCAAAUAUAGUCUUGAAUGCAACUUCUGUCAUUAAGAAAUAUUUCCUAAACAGACUCCAUACCCCCACUUUCCAUCUGAUAAUCAUCUCCUUGUGUUUGUGGUAAGUCAACAUCCUUCAUCUUUGCCUUAUGAGGAAAAGCUAUGGCUGUGAGCACUCAAAAAUUCCCUCAGCGCUUGCAGAUGCCUAUGAUAACAAACAACAGAAAGCAUCUAACACGCUUUUUUCCUUUCCUUACAGAGACAAGCACUUCACUCAAAAGAGAGCAGGUCCCAUACCAGCUUUCUGCCUGUGCGAUUUACCAAGUUAUAGCACAUGCUUAGCUCUCAAAUUUGAAAAUGAAGAAAGGAGACACAUGAUGCAGCACACAGCCACCUUUGGCAGCCACGUUUUUGGUCUCUCCCUGCUUUCCACACCAAUCCCCACUCCUCAGAGGGGAGUCAGUGCCCCGUGAUGCUGGGUGGGCCCGAGGAAAGGCUCCUUCCUCACGCCCGCCUUCCCUGUUAGCAGCAGCAGAGUGCUGGGUGCUAUAUACAGAGGACCCUGGGAAGCCAUGUGGAGCCAAAUCUACACAGCAACAGGGAAUGGAGAUGGGAAAUAAAGUCAUCUGCUACAAGUGGCAAGAGGACAGCAGUAGUAUUUACUUACUUCUUGCUCAUAUACACCUUUCCUACAGCUCAUGUACAACUGACCAAGCCCAUGAGACUCAUCCUGUUUUCCACCGUGAAAACAAAGAGAAGCAGGGAGGCUUAAGGCUGGGAGAAAAUGGAGCUGAUUUAGGAAACAUGAGACAAACAGCAAGAGGGUAACGGGGAAAAGAGAGAGUAAGAAAAUGAAAGAGAACUAAGGAAGGACCAUGGAGCUUAAGUAAAGAUCUGUGGAACUACAGAAGGCACAGUGGGAAGAGCAGCAUUAAAAAGGGUCAAGAAGCAGGACAGGGAAAGAGAAAACAAUGGCUACAACAACCACAAAAACCAGAAGGAGCUGGAAGAUAUUUUGAAGGUGGCCAUAGAGUGGUUUGAAAGGGUGUGAGUGGGAAAGAGGAAAUGCAAGAAGGGGAAC